Molecule: ribosomal RNA, 301 nt
Filed under: uncultured bacterium
Lineage: Bacteria
Description: partial 16S ribosomal RNA
Rfam family: Bacterial small subunit ribosomal RNA
Source: RNAcentral
CAGUACCGCGGGAAAACAGAGGGUGCGAGCGUUAAUCGGAUUUACUGGGCGUAAAGCGUGCGUAGGCGGCUUUUUAAGUCGGAUGUGAAAUCCCUGAGCUUAACUUGGGAAUUGCAUUCGAUACUGGUUAGCUAGAGUGUGGGAGAGGAUGGUAGAAUUCCAGGUGUAGCGGUGAAAUGCGUAGAGAUCUGGAGGAAUACCGAUGGCGAAGGCAGCCAUCUGGCCUAACACUGACGCUGAGGUACGAAAGCAUGGGGAGCAAACAGGAUUAGAUACCCCCGUAGUCCCUGUCUCUUAUACA